RNAcentral lists this unclassified non-coding RNA (240 nucleotides) under soil metagenome. Its description in RNAcentral is "partial contains 5.8S ribosomal RNA, internal transcribed spacer 2, and large subunit ribosomal RNA". The record is from RNAcentral.
AAGACUAUAGACCUGCGGAGUACCUGCGGAGGGAUCAUUAACGAGUGUAACUUACCUUUUUUUUUAAAAGAGGGUAGUACCUCCCGUCCUUUGUAGGCCCCUUUUUAUUAGGGGGCUUUUUAAGACUUUCUGCUUCGGCGGGGUUAUUCCCGCCGGAACACCCUCAAAAAACUCUUCAAAAAAAACUAAUUUCAGUCCGAGAAUUUUUGAAAAUAAAAAAAACUUUCAACAAUGGAUCUC